Long non-coding RNA from Gymnodraco acuticeps, 358 nucleotides. RefSeq lists it as uncharacterized. The record is from RefSeq and is a predicted model, not a curated record. Lineage: Eukaryota; Metazoa; Chordata; Actinopteri; Perciformes; Bathydraconidae. The transcript is spliced from 3 exons.
GAGAGAGCAAGGGGAAAGAGAGAGGGAGAGGUAGAGGAGACAGAGAGGACACACAGGCAGGCAUCUCAGUGACUAACCACGACUCACUGUAAUGCAGCAGAGCUGAUGGUCUGACACACUAGAGGUAUCAUGGCUGCUGGAUGGAAGCCGGUGAUAUUUCUGCUUUUGCUGUUGUUUUUUUGCCAACUGACCAAAAGCAAAGACGGAAAAUCGAAGGGAAAGAAAGGCAAGCAAGUGGUCUGUCCAUCCCAGUUGUCCCCAGAAGAUUUGGCCCAGGUUCCGGCUAACUCCACUUCCAACAUCUUGAACCGUCUGAUGGUCAGCUAUGACCCAAGAAUAAGGCCUAAUUUUCAAGGUA